RNAcentral lists this ribosomal RNA (497 nucleotides) under uncultured bacterium. Its description in RNAcentral is "partial 16S ribosomal RNA". It matches the Rfam family "Bacterial small subunit ribosomal RNA", at positions 28 to 507 of the family's 1533-position model. The record is from RNAcentral.
GAUGAACGCUGGCGGCGUGCCUAAUACAUGCAAGUCGAGCGAACGGACGAGAAGCUUGCUUCUCUGAUGUUAGCGGCGGACGGGUGAGUAACACGUGGAUAACCUACCUAUAAGACUGGGAUAACUUCGGGAAACCGGAGCUAAUCCCGGAUAAUAUUUUGAACCGCAUGGUUCAAAAGUGAAAGACGGUCUUGCUGUCACUUAUAGAUGGAUCCGCGCUGCAUUAGCUAGUUGGUAAGGUAACGGCUUACCAAGGCAACGAUGCAUAGCCGACCUGAGAGGGUGAUCGGCGACACUGGAGCGGAGACGCGGACCAGGCUCCUACGGGAGGCAGCAGUAGGGAAUCGUCCGCAAUAGGCGAAAGCCUGGCGGAGCAACGCCGCGUGAGAGAUGAAAGUCUUCGGAUCGUAAAGCUCGGUUAUUAGGGGAGAACAGAUGUGGAAUGAGCUGUGCACAGCGUGACGGUACCUAAUCAGAAAGCCACGGCUAACUACGUG